Molecule: long non-coding RNA, 672 nt
Organism: Eurytemora carolleeae
Lineage: Eukaryota; Metazoa; Arthropoda; Copepoda; Calanoida; Temoridae
Exons: 3
Source: RefSeq, a predicted model, not a curated record
AUCUCCUCCGGACUGGUUUAUCAGCCUCAUGAGUGUGAACAACCUGCUUCAAAUCCUGAACACGAACAUGAACUUCUGGUUCUAUGCAGGAAUGAACAAGAACUUCCGAACAGGACUCAGAUCUCUCCUCUCAAGAUUUACAGUGGUAUCUUCGGAGCUGGGCGCUGCAGUGGAGGUUUAAAAACAUUCUUUCAUCAAACAUUUUAAUUAAAAAAAGAGAAGAAAUAAGAAUCUUACUCUUUCUGUUGUCCAAAUGUUGUACGCGAAAUAUAUUGUCAUUUUUAUGACGAAAAAUAGUUACUUGUAAAGCCAUUGCACGUCAAAUAACGUAAAUUGCACCUCAAAUAAAGUAAAUUGCACGUCAAAUAAAGUAAAUUGCACGUGAAAGUAAAAGCUAUUAUAUGGCAUUCUAAGAAAAGGUAUUGAGAAGAACUAAAAAUAUUUGAUUGUGUUUUUCUCAUAUCUAUAAUCUUAAAAUGAAAACUUGAGGAUCUACGAGGUCUCAAGAUCGUAGUUAACUCUGUUUAAUGCCCGCUUUAAACAUAAUUAUAGAUUGCCUAGCUACAACUUUGAUACCGAAAAUAUUCGCGGAUUUCUAGAGCACAGACAAGCAAAAACGUGGCCGAAAAAAGUUGUUUAAAAAGCCAUUAAUAAGCAAAGAUUAAUGUCUAU